AUGGUUCCUUCUGCUCAUUUUCAGUGUCCUAAACUUAAUCCUGGUUUAAUCAUCUUCCGUGAGACAAAUCAAAGGAUGAAGCCCUGUUCUUUCUUUUCUUACACAGGAUGGAGCACAGCCCAAAUAAUCACUCAGAGCCCACCAGCAGUUUCCAUUCAGGAGAUAGGAGCUGUGACCCUGGAGUGUGUGUAUACUUUUGGUGCAGCAAAUUAUGACAUUUACUGGUACAAACAAUCUCCCAGUGGGGAGGUUAUUUACAUCCUUCAUCAGAAUUCUCUAUCCAGUGAUGUAAAAUAUAAAGGUCGAUAUUCCCUGACCUUCCACAAAGAAGCCAGAUCUGUCAACUUCACUAUCUUGUCCUCACGGCUGAAAGACUCAGGGAUGUAUUUCUGUGGCCUCCGCAAGCCCACAAUGAUUUAA
This is a non-coding RNA of Antechinus flavipes (yellow-footed antechinus), 420 nucleotides long. The record is from the annotation of a RefSeq genome assembly. Lineage: Eukaryota; Metazoa; Chordata; Mammalia; Dasyuromorphia; Dasyuridae.